UUACAAGUCUUGAGUCCUAGUCGGGUACUAUUACAGAGUUCUACUCGGUAAGGCCCGAGUAGUUUUCCAUAAACAUACUUGACUAGUCCGAGUGGGAUACGCCUAUCCCUUGUUUCGAUCGUGUCCGAGUACGCCCCUGAGUGGGCCAUCCAAGGUCUACUCGUGGGCCUGGGGUGCAUGCCCGACACUCACUUCUAGGUGGCAGAACCAACCUACGAUGAAGUCCAAAUUCUUGUGAUCCCGGGUGAUAGAGCCAACCUUCGAUGGAUCAUAACUUAUGUACUAAGUAUUUAGAAACUACAACCCAACCGGGAGACUAAUAGUUACAAAAGACUUUAUUAGAACACAACAAUACUACACAAGAGUGUACAACACUCUGUCUUUAGUGGCUAGCCUAGCACUCACCUUUUUCUCACUGUCACACUACCACGCUCCCCUCAUCCACCAUGCUAAUGGUUGAAUGGCAUGGCAAGUGAGGGGGUUCUAUUUAUAGGUAAAGGGGGUCAUGAGAUUGAGACAAGUGUCCUCCUUUCUAGAGACUUCCUAGAUAUUACAACAUUUACUAAUUUAUUUUAUUACCAAGGUCGAUAUCUUCUCCUUGCACGAUGGACAAAACUCUAGAAGGUUUUUGCCUUGCUUACUUUCAACAUUCUCCCUCAAGGAAAAAAUCUUUUCAAAUUUAUCUGGCAGACCAUGCCAAGCGCCUCUUGAAACUUCUCAAAAUUUAGUUUUUUAGACUCUUUGUGAGUAUGUGGACAGUUUUUCUAUCUUGGUAGGCACCAUUGCAAUCUCACCCUCAAGGACAUUUUUUCAUAUGUAGCGGUAGUGAACUUGUAUGUGUUUGAUCCUUGUUUGGACGACUGGAUUUUCUACCAAACGAAUAGACGGUAGAUUAUCAUAGAAAUCCUUACUUGGUAUUCUGUUGGCCAGUCAGGGGUAGGCCUAAAUGUAUUUCAAGGGUAUUCAAUUGAAUACACAUUAUUUUUUGCAACAAGUUCAUGUAUGUAGUGUAUAACACAUAUACCUAUUCAGAAAAUAGAAAAUGGCACCACAAAAAUAGGCUUUCUAAUAUGUCCUUGCCUUCGUGAGCCCAAAAAGAGAUUAGCCCACACUCCCCUCCCUCCCCAAGGCCUAGAAAUGGCCCAAAGUUGGCCCUGCAGACUGUCGAGUCGCCAUCUCGGAGUCUUCCCGAUCCCCUCCCGACUGCCUCUCUCUCGCUCAUCCCCGAAGUCUCGAACUAGACAGCCGACAGUGCAUGCAUGGAGCUUCAGCCUUGGGAGCAGGCCGAGCGGGCUGCCGAGCAUAGGGCGGCAGGCUUCCCAGCUCUAAUGUCCUUCCCAGCUUCCCUGUUCCGUCUUGGCUCCACCGCUCUUCCCUUCGUGUUCUGCGCACAGGGAUAGUGCCACAACAACAGAAGUCAACAACUGACUAACUUAGGUGAGAAGAAAAUUGUUAUUGAUUUGGGAAUUUGUGAUCGCAAUUUCCAAUACUUGUCAAUUUGUGACAAUUUGAGAGUGAU
Molecule: long non-coding RNA, 1519 nt
Filed under: Setaria italica (foxtail millet)
Lineage: Eukaryota; Viridiplantae; Streptophyta; Magnoliopsida; Poales; Poaceae
Description: long non-coding RNA (SITA_LNC006935)
Source: RNAcentral